Non-coding RNA from Pelobates cultripes (western spadefoot toad), 152 nucleotides. The record is from the annotation of a GenBank genome assembly. Lineage: Eukaryota; Metazoa; Chordata; Amphibia; Anura; Pelobatidae.
CAGCAGACACAUUCCAGCCAAUCAGCAGCAGACCCUCCCUCCCACCUCCUGGACAGCUCACUAAGUAUGCAGCUUCAAAAUGGAUGCUAUCCAGGAGUUGGGAGGGUCUGGGAGGGAGGGUCUGCUGCUGAUUGGCUGGAAUGUGUCUGCUG